Non-coding RNA from Camelina sativa (false flax), 962 nucleotides. The record is from RefSeq and is a predicted model, not a curated record. NCBI's taxonomy places the organism in Eukaryota, Viridiplantae, Streptophyta, Magnoliopsida, Brassicales, Brassicaceae.
GUUUUUGUCCUGUUUUGCUCUCUGUUUCCCGUUUUGGAUUUUCUCCUUCGUUGUAUGUUCUCUAUAGACUAUAGAUACUCUGGAACUUUAAAAUGACGAUUUGAAUCGUCAAUUUACACACUUGAGGUUGAGAUCUUCAUCGUUGGUCUGUUUAUACAAACCGCAUCAGGAGUAAGGUAAGCUAUCUUCUCUGUCACCGGAGCGGUGUGGUUUUUCCGACAAGCGUUGCGGUUGUGGCCCUUUCCCGGCGGACGAAAGGCUUCGGUUUCUGGUUCCUCCUGGUUUGAAGACGCCGCUGGAGAUGCAGAGAAGUCUUUCACGGCUCAACCGCCUGGUUGGAGGCUGCGGCAGCGGCGGAAGACGCUUGUGGAUAGGUGGGUUUUUCCGGUGAGUGUUGUGGUGGUUAACGGUAGGUUCUCUUUUGGAUCUUAGAUGGCUUUCAGGGACUCUGGUUUUUGAGAGGUUUGUUGAGCCUCUUCCUCUCUCUCGUCACCCUGUUUUGCUUCCACCGAACCAGAUCUGAAGACUGUCUUACCUCGGGAAAGAUCUCCGGCUUAAGGAUUCGGAGACUAGAGGCUUGGAUCUGAGUAUGUCGUUUUGCUAGGAAGGGGAUUCGACAUUCAUUGGGUGGCGGAGUGUCGGAGAGUUGAUUUAUUCCGGAAGGCUUGUGGCGGGUCAGACUCGCCGUUGGGGACGGUUCUGCGACGGGAUCCGAAUACUCCGGUUAAAGGACCCAUCCGGCGGCAUAGUCGCAAAGCUGUGGGCCUUGUAUUCGCCGGUGCUAGUAAAUCUGAUUCUCUGCCUCCGCUUAACCGCCCGGCUUCAACUCUACGAUCUGUUUCCGGCCGCCGGUAGUUUCGUUCCGUUUUGUAACUGAUGCGUUGUUUGUAUAACAGGCCUUAAGGCCCAUUUGGGUUUAAGCCCUUUUAAUAAAAUUUAAAUUAAAAAAAAAAAAAAAAAAA